RNAcentral lists this ribosomal RNA (253 nucleotides) under uncultured bacterium. Its description in RNAcentral is "partial 16S ribosomal RNA". It matches the Rfam family "Bacterial small subunit ribosomal RNA", at positions 524 to 776 of the family's 1533-position model. The record is from RNAcentral.
UACAGAGGAUGCAAGCGUUAUCCGGAAUUACUGGGCGUAAAGCGCGUGUAGGCGGUCUUAAAAGUCAGGUGUGAAAGCCCCGGGCUCAACCCGGGAAGUGCACUUGAAACUGCAAGGCUAGAGUACUGGAGAGGUUGGUGGAAUUCUCGGUGUAGAGGUGAAAUUCGUAGAUAUCGAGAGGAACACCGGUGGCGAAGGCGGCCAACUGGACAGAUACUGACGCUGAGACUCGAAAGCGUGGGGAGCAAACAGG